This 388-nucleotide ribosomal RNA is filed under the name uncultured bacterium. Its description in RNAcentral is "bacterial SSU rRNA". It matches the Rfam family "Bacterial small subunit ribosomal RNA", at positions 28 to 417 of the family's 1533-position model. The record is from RNAcentral.
GACGAACGCUGGCGGCGUGCUUAACACAUGCAAGUCGAGCGGUAAGGCCCUUUCGGGGGUACACGAGCGGCGAACGGGUGAGUAACACGUGGGUGACCUACCCUCAGCUCUGGGAUAAGCCCGGGAAACUGGGUCUAAUACCGGAUAUGACUCCAUGACGCAUGUUGUGGGGUGGAAAGCCUUGUGCGGCUGAGGAUGGGCCCGCGGCCUAUCAGCUUGUUGGUGGGGUGAUGGCCUACCAAGGCGACGACGGGUAGCCGGCCUGAGAGGGCGACCGGCCACACUGGGACUGAGAUACGGCCCAGACUCCUACGGGAGGCAGCAGUGGGGAAUCUUGCGCAAUGGGCGAAAGCCUGACGCAGCGACGCCGCGUGAGGGAUGACGGCCU